Non-coding RNA from Lyophyllum atratum, 81 nucleotides. Lineage: Eukaryota; Fungi; Basidiomycota; Agaricomycetes; Agaricales; Lyophyllaceae. The record is from the annotation of a GenBank genome assembly.
GGCCGUGUGGCGUAAUGGCAACGCGUCUGACUACGAUAACCGUGAUCAGGAGAUUUGCAGGUUCGACCCCUGUCUCGGUCA